GUCGUAACAAGGUUUCCGUAGGUGAACCUGCGGAAGGAUCAUUACCCAACAGCCCUUCGGGGUCUGCUAUCAACCCUUGACUAUGAGUACCAAAAUAUACGUCCCUCGGCGGGGUGCACACCGCCCAUGGGCCUUUUGAAAACACCUUUUGCAGUAUGCUAGUAUCUUCUGAUUCUGUGGGCAUGAAUUUUUUACAACUUUCAACAAUGGAUCUCUUGGCUCUGGCAUCGAUGAAGAACGCAGCGAAAUGCGAUAAGUAGUGUGAAUUGCAGAAUUCAGUGAAUCAUCGAAUCUUUGAACGCACAUUGCGCCCCUUGGUAUUCCAUGGGGCAUGCCUGUUCGAGCGUCAUUGACACCCUCAAGCUCUGCUUGGUGUUGGGCGUCUGUCCCUGCGGGGACUCGCCCCAAAGUCAUUGGCAGCCUCUGCCCGCUUCCCGCGCAGCACUGUCGCGCUUUUGGGAGGACCUACGGGUGGACUGGCGUCCAGCAAGCUCUUUUUAUUUCAACCAGCUUGACCUCGAAUCAGGUAGGGAUACCCGCUGAACUUAAGCAUAUCAAUAA
This 561-nucleotide unclassified non-coding RNA is filed under the name Trematosphaeria grisea. RNAcentral describes it as "sequence contains ITS1, 5.8S rRNA gene and ITS2". The stretch from base 196 to 349 matches the Rfam family "5.8S ribosomal RNA". The record is from RNAcentral. Lineage: Eukaryota; Fungi; Ascomycota; Dothideomycetes; Pleosporales; Trematosphaeriaceae.